This 89-nucleotide unclassified non-coding RNA is filed under the name Pseudomonas arsenicoxydans. Lineage: Bacteria; Pseudomonadati; Pseudomonadota; Gammaproteobacteria; Pseudomonadales; Pseudomonadaceae. The record is from RNAcentral.
UGUGGGAGCGGGCUUGCCCGCGAUAGCGGUCUGUCAGCCAAUAUUUAUUUGACUGACAGACCGCUAUCGCGGGCAAGCCCGCUCCCACA